CACACCCAGCCCCAGGCUUCCCCUUCCCUCUCUCCACUCCCCACGCCCUGCAGCGAAACGGCCCCAGAAGCCCCUCUCCGAGGCGCGAGUUCGGUUUGGUUCUGGCAGGGGCUUUGCAGCUGUCCGGAAGGUGAAGUCAGCCUUGUGUCCUGAGGAGAAACUGGAGAUGCAGGUCGCUGUGCCCUCCCGCUGCUACGUCGCUGCGCCGGAUCCUGCCAUCCUUCCGCAAGGGGUGAGAGCGGGAACAGCCCUGCCCUGCCUUCCAGGUAUUAUCUAGCCUGGAGGCUGGAGCGCAAGGUAACGCUCCGGGAAGUGGCACUCGGGUCCCCGCACACGGGCGAGUCCUCAGCAGUUCAGUGGACAGACCCGCAGGACGCGGCUGCCAAGUCCGCGAGGCAAGGACCAGGCAUCUUCCCGCGCCUCACUCCAGCCUGCGGACUGUGACUUUCCAUCCCAGUAUCAGACAAGCUCGCGAGUAACUGAACAUCCUUUCCAGUCCAUGGGUGGGGUGUGGAAAGGGCGUAAAACUCCAAAGUGGCUCCUCCGCGGUGAGCGAGCUGCCCCGGGGCUCUGCCUGACUGCAGCGCGAAGCCUGGGAGAACAAACCCAGUUCCCUCCGUCAAGAAAUUUCCAUUUAAGUCCGAGAAAGUCAUAUGAUUGAGAAGUUCAGCAGCGGCGGCGAGGACCCAGUGUCUGGGAAAGAACACCUGGAGGAUGGGGUGUCCAGGACGCCGGCUUUUCGGGGUUCCGACCCCACCCACCUUAUGUUGUAACAUACAAGCUUAGAGACCUGUUGCAAGGAACAACUGACUGGGUCUUCCACCACCCCUGGCACCCGGGUGGCCCAAAGCCUAUGCGCCCUUGGCGGAGAGAGAGGCCACGGUGCCACUGGCCGCAGCCUCUGGCCUUCAGAAACAGUGUAUUACAAAGAAAAGGCAGUUUAAAUCUCACAUUCAGCAUAGGGAAAACUGAAGGGUGCCAGGCUCGGGGACUUCUUCCAACAGAGUGGCUCUUCCCCAAAUAUGAAAGAAAAUCAUCAAAUUAAAUUGAAGGCAAAACUAAGCUUCCACCACAAAGACAUAGCAGAUAGUUGCAAGGUGGAUUCCUUCGGGCCUUUUCCUUUCCUAAGGCUAAAACAAUGCUAAGACAAAAGUCUUCUUGCAGCUGUCUCCGCCCCUCCGAGAUAAAUACUUUCCCAAUUCUCCCCCACCCUGUACACACACCCACGCCCGCGGCAGCUGAUUUCUGUCUUCUGCAAUAGCUCGAUUUAAAUGCUUUGCUUUUACUCUUUAUUAUCACUAUUAUUUGUGUGAAGCCCUCUCGCCUGCUCCUGGUCACCAGCAGGAGCCUGCUUCCCUCCCUCCUUCCCCCCAAGCCUCUGGGCAGCAGAAGCUAGCUGGGAGCUCUGUGCAGCUGGCGGCGACGCCAUGUGACUGUGAGCCGAGCACCAUCACCCAGAGUCACUCUCUAGCUUUCCCCUAAUACACUUCACACCCACGCACUGUGGAGGUGCGAGAGAGGUUGCUCCGUGCGGUGCUAUUCGAGGCAGAUGCAGAGAGCGCCCUGGAGUAAGCUCUCCAAUCCUAGAGCUGCGCGGGACCCUGACUGAAGGCGGAGGGGGCGGGAGGGGGUGCUGUUGCUAUAUUUAGACUCCCUAUGGAGUUUCUGUGCAGGGACUUUCAGGGUGAAAGAUCUAGAGACUUAAAAUGACUCGUGUGCCCGCUUUAAACGUCAAAAUCUUGGCCUUUCUGCAAGCAGUAAAAUGAAAACCACUUCCUCUUAACUUAGCUGUUUUCCUUGUUGCAGACUGCUACUUUCGCUGGGUAGGUAAAGUCACUUCCAUCUCUCUGGCGCGGCUGGGCCCCGCGUGCAGGCAAGAAGUCUCAGGAAGGCAGGACACAGGGACACGUUUCCCUGGAAGACAGCCAGCUGUUUAAUUUCUAAGUGAUGCUUUUCUGGGGAUGCAGCAUUAGUUCUAGUGAAACUGUAUUAUUGAUUAAGCAAAUGCCAUUUAAGCUUAAUUAAAAAAUAAAAAAGACCCGGUUACUGGUAGCCGUUUUGAGCUGCUGAGAAGGACCUUUCACUUAUGUCUUCUAGAGUAACCGCCAUUUGGAUACACAGCCCAGAAAAAGAGGGCCUGCUCAAGUUUUCGCGGGUAGUGUGAGAGUUACUAGGAAUCCAACAACCUGGCUUCCUAGUUCACUGUUCCUUCCACCAAUCAAUCUGCAUCUCCAGCAGAGAAUGGAUAAAAUAGCAAACAGUUCUGGGGUUUUGUAUCAAUCUCUGACUGCAACCAUUGGGAAAGACUGGCUUAGCUGAAGUUCUAACCUUCCUACCUUUCAAUGCCCAGAAAGAAAAAGCCAAAAAUUAAUCAGAGAACCCAGGACAACGUCAGAGAUCAUAUGAGCCUCACCAGACUGCAUGAGAGUCAUAACACAGUAGGAGUCCCAGGCCUACCUCACAUGGCAAAUGGGACAGUGUUCUUCAGAACAACCUCUGCCCCAGGGAUGCAGAAAGGAGGGUUUCACUAUGUUGGCCAGUCUGGUGUUGAACUCCUCACCUCAAAUGAUCUGCCCACCUUGGCCUCCCAAAGCGUUGGAGUUACAGACGUGAGCCACCGCGCCCAGCUGGAGAAGAUGUGAAAUUUUGAGAGCUGACCAUACUUUGAGAAUAAUAAGUAGUUGGAUUCUACUGAAGCCCAGUGGCUUUUGGAGGUGUAGCAAUAAGCAGGAGGCAGCAGAAGUAAGACAAGGGCUGUAUGACAAAGUCUUGGCAAGAACUUUGAAUUUUAUCCUGAUGUGAGUGGGGAGAGCCACUGAAGAACGUGAAGCCAGAAACACUACAUGUUACUACUUCUACUUUCAGAAAAGGCUUAAUAUGGAUUAUACACCUACAAGUGGCACACACUGUUCCAAGUGGAGACUCAAAGAUGAUAACGAUACAGUGUUUAUGCUAUAGGUUUGUGAAGCUACCAAUCCAUGGACAGAUGUUAAACCUAACUUCCAAUUUCAGGUACAAAUAUCUGAGUAAAUGAUGGUAUCAUUUACUCAAUCAGUAAAGGUCAAAGAGAAGGCAGUCUGAAGAAGGGAAAGGUGUUCAAUUUUGCAUUGAGUUUGACAUACCUGUUGAGACAGCUCAGUGGAGAUAUCCAGUUGAUGCUUGGAUAUAUGGACUUACAGCUCAGGGGGAGCUAGAAAUUGAAAUUUGAGAAUCAUCAACCUAUAUUUAUAAUGGGUGAAAUCAAUAAGUCGGAAUCAAAUUACCUGGGGAAGCAUGCAGAUUUGUUUAAAAAGGAAGAGGCCUGAGAACCCAACCCUGGUAAGCAUGACCAUUCAGGAUAAGAGAGAAGGAGCAAGUAGGGAAAGAGACUGAAAUAAAGAAACCUGAGUAACCACUGAGGACCACUGCUACAAUAGAGAAAAAGGAACUUCAUUAGGGAAAUGCCUGAAAGCGAAUAAGGUAAGGAUUUUGGAUUUAGCAACAAAGAGGUCAUUUGAAGAAGUUGUUUUUAUUUUUAUUUCCUUGCAGAAUUGUAGAAAUAGAAAUCAAAUCAGAGUGAGCAGAGAAACAAUUUGAAGAUAAGGGAAUGGAGAUAAUUAUUUUAAAGUGGGAGAAGCAAGCAGAAGAUUUAGGUUUGAAGAAGGCACUAUACAAAAUAAUGUUGAUUCACUUGAGACUUGAGUGGCUGUUACAGCCACUCUCACAGGUCCCGAGGCUGAGCCUGCACAGGUGUUUCGACAACUAAGCUGCAAUUUUGACAGACACUAUUUCACUGUCAAUUGUGCGGCCUGCAACAACUUGGACAUCUUUUAUUGAUUUUAUUGAGUACUUUAAUAACAUUUUAAUAAAAGCCAUUAUAUUUUAUUUCUAACAUUUCAAAAAAUUCUAUUUAAUAAGUAUGCAUUUUUCGUGUUUAGUUUUACCAAGAAGGAAAAUGCAUGCUAGAUAAACUACAUUUUUGUUUGAUUUUAUUUGUAAUCAAGGCUGAGGAACUGACCAGAUCAGAAAAAGAAAGUCAAUACCUGCUAAGUAUUCAACACAGUUUUCAACAGUGCUACUGAAAGCUACAGGAGAUACCAAGAGUCCCUCAGACAGGUCAGGGAUUGGCAAGAGUGGGGUCAUCAAGUUUCUGGAGUUUCAAUAAGAUAUUUGCUUUUUUCUUAUAUAUACAUAUUAGCUUUCUGCAUAAAAUUAUAUUAACAGAAAC
Long non-coding RNA from Homo sapiens (human), 4207 nucleotides. Ensembl annotates it as KCNQ5 divergent transcript. Its record names the gene KCNQ5-DT. Lineage: Eukaryota; Metazoa; Chordata; Mammalia; Primates; Hominidae. The record is from Ensembl.